AACUCAUUGAUCAAAACUAUGUAUAACCAUUUUAUAUAUAAGAAAAAACUUAUAACUUAAUAAAAAUAUUAUAAACCUAGCUAACUAUAAUACAAAUAUAAAAAAAUACAAAAAUAUUAAAAAUGCAUUAUACAUUCGAUUUAAUUUAAUAGGGGUAUAGAGUAAACUCUAUCCCAUCCUCACUUAUUCACCUCGAUUUUAAAUCUAUCUUUCAUUCUUCUCGCUUUCUUUCAUCCUCAACCCCGCUCAUUUAUAUUUUUCGCUCUUCUCUUCUUCCUCCCCCUACUUCCAUAAAAAUACACACA
This 305-nucleotide long non-coding RNA is filed under the name Salvia miltiorrhiza (redroot sage). RNAcentral describes it as "long non-coding RNA (SMIL_LNC003349)". The record is from RNAcentral. Lineage: Eukaryota; Viridiplantae; Streptophyta; Magnoliopsida; Lamiales; Lamiaceae.